UGGGGAAUAUUGGACAAUGGGCGCAAGCCUGAUCCAGCCAUGCCGCGUGGGUGAAGAAGGCCUUCGGGUUGUAAAGCCCUUUUGUUCGGGACGAAAUCGUACGGGUGAAUAUCCCGUGCGGAUGACGGUACCGGAAGAAUAAGCACCGGCUAACUUCGUGCCAGCAGCCGCGGUAAUACGAAGGGUGCAAGCGUUACUCGGAAUUACUGGGCGUAAAGCGUGCGUAGGCGGUUUGUUAAGUCCGCUGUGAAAGCCCUGGGCUCAACCUGGGAAUUGCAGUGGAUACUGGCAAGCUAGAGUGCGGUAGAGGAUGGUGGAAUUCCCGGUGUAGCGGUGAAAUGCGUAGAGAUCGGGAGGAACACCCGUGGCGAAGGCGGCCAUCUGGACCAGCACUGACGCUGAGGCACGAAAGCGUGGGGAGCAAACAG
RNAcentral lists this ribosomal RNA (428 nucleotides) under uncultured bacterium. RNAcentral describes it as "bacterial SSU rRNA". It matches the Rfam family "Bacterial small subunit ribosomal RNA", at positions 355 to 775 of the family's 1533-position model. The record is from RNAcentral.